This 1053-nucleotide long non-coding RNA is filed under the name Nicotiana tabacum (common tobacco). RNAcentral describes it as "long non-coding RNA (NTAB_LNC017245)". The record is from RNAcentral. Lineage: Eukaryota; Viridiplantae; Streptophyta; Magnoliopsida; Solanales; Solanaceae.
GUUCAAGUUUUCGCUAUUAAGCGCCCACCUGGAGAAACAGGGAAUGCAGUUCAAGUUUUGGUAAUCAAGCGCCUACCUGGAGAACAAGGGAAUAAAGUUUCAAAUUUUGGCAAUCAGGCGGCAACCUGGAGAACAAGGGAAAACAGUUUCAAGUUUUGGCAAUUAGGCGCCCACCUAGAGAACAAGGGAAUACAGUUCAAGUUUUGGCAAUCAGGCGCCCACCUGGAGAACAAGGGAAUACAGUUCAAGUUUCGGCAAUCAGGCGCCCACCUGGAGAACAAGGGAAUACAGUUCAAGUUUCGGCAAUCAGGCGCCCACCUGGAGAACAAGGGAAUACAGUUCAAGUUUCGGCAAUCAGGCGCCCACUUGGAGAACAAGGAAAUAUAGUUCAAGCUUUGGCAAUCAGGCGCCCACCUGGAGAGCAAGGGAAUACAGUUCAAGUUUCGGCAUUCAGGUGCCCACCUGGAGAACAAGGAAAUACAGUUCAAGUUUUGGCAAUCAGGCGCCCACCUGGAGAACAAGGGAAUGCAGUUUCAAGUUUUGGCAAUUAGGCGCCCACUUGGAUAAACAGGGAAUACAGUUCAAGUUUUGGCAAUCAAGCGCCCACCUGGAGAACAAGGGAAUACAUCUCAUGUUUUGGCAAUCAGGCGCCCACCUGGAGAACAAGGGAAUACAGUUCAAGUUUCGGCAAUCAGGCACCCACUUAGAGAACAAGGGAAUGCAGUAUAGGUUUUGGUAAUCAGGCGCCCACCUAGAGAACAAGGGAAUAAAGUUCAAGUUUGGGCAAUCAGGCACCCACCUGGAGAAUAAGGGAAUACAGUUAAAGUUUUGGCAAUCAGGCCCCCACCUGGAGAACAAGGGAAUAGAGUUCUAGUUUUGGCAAUCAGGUGCCCACCUGAAGUACAAGGGAAUACAGUUCAAGUUUUGGCAAUCAGGCUCCUACUUGGAGAACAAGGGAAUAUAGUUAAUGUUUUGGCAAUCAGGCGCCCAACCUGGAGAACAAGGAAAUACAGUUAAAGUUUCGGCAAUCAGGCGCCCACCUGGAGAACAAGG